UUUCCGUAGGUGAACCUGUGGAAGGAUCAUUAUUGAAUAACCGAGGUGCGAGGGCUGUUGUUGACCCGAAAGGCCGUGAAAGCCCGAGUGCCCUCACACACAUUCAUCUUACCCCUAUGUGCACCACCUCGUGGGUCCCCCUUUGUCUUGUUCGGUGCGGGGCUUACGUUUUCACAAAAACAUUGUAUACAGUGUAGAAUGUUAUUUAUGUUUUUGCUAAUACGCUAUGAAUACAACUUUUACCAACGGAUCUCUUGGCUCUCCCAUCGAUGAAGAACG
This 279-nucleotide unclassified non-coding RNA is filed under the name plant metagenome. RNAcentral describes it as "partial contains small subunit ribosomal RNA, internal transcribed spacer 1, and 5.8S ribosomal RNA". The stretch from base 235 to 279 matches the Rfam family "5.8S ribosomal RNA", at positions 1 to 45 of the family's 154-position model. The record is from RNAcentral.